UGGAGAAGUUGAGGGGGGCUGCUCCUAGUACGAGAGGACCGGAGUGGACGCAUCACUGGUGUUCGGGUUGUCAUGCCAAUGGCACUGCCCGGUAGCUAAAUGCGGAAGAGAUAAGUGCUGAAAGCAUCUAAGCACGAAACUUGCCCCGAGAUGAGUUCUCCCUGAGACUUUAAGUCUCCUGAAGGAACGUUAAAGACGAUGACGUUGAUAGGCCGGGUGUGUAAGCGCAGCGAUGCGUUGAGCUAACCGGUACUAAUGAACCGUGAGGCUUAACCUUAC
RNAcentral lists this ribosomal RNA (279 nucleotides) under Klebsiella pneumoniae subsp. pneumoniae KPNIH21. Its description in RNAcentral is "partial 23S ribosomal RNA". It matches the Rfam family "Bacterial large subunit ribosomal RNA", at positions 2652 to 2925 of the family's 2925-position model. Lineage: Bacteria; Pseudomonadati; Pseudomonadota; Gammaproteobacteria; Enterobacterales; Enterobacteriaceae. The record is from RNAcentral.